RNAcentral lists this ribosomal RNA (385 nucleotides) under uncultured Anaerolineaceae bacterium. RNAcentral describes it as "bacterial SSU rRNA". It matches the Rfam family "Bacterial small subunit ribosomal RNA", at positions 982 to 1382 of the family's 1533-position model. Lineage: Bacteria; Bacillati; Chloroflexota; Anaerolineae; Anaerolineales; Anaerolineaceae. The record is from RNAcentral.
UAUAGGGUUGGUAAGGGAACGUAGAACGGACCGACCCUUCGGGGAGCCUAGUACAGGUGUUGCAUGGCUGUCGUCAGCUCGUGUCGUGAGAUGUUCGGUUAAGUCCGCUAACGAGCGCAACCCUCGUCGUAUGUUAUAUGUGUCAUACGAGACUGCCGGUAAAAGCCGGAGGAAGGUGAGGAUGAUGUCAAGUCAGCAUGACCUUUAUAUCCAGGGCUACACACACGCUACAAUGGUCUGUACAAUGGGUAGCCAAGCCGCGAGGCGGAGCCAAUCCUGAAAGCAGGCCUCAGUUCAGAUUGCAGUCUGCAACUCGACUGCAUGAAGCCGGAGUUGCUAGUAACCGCAGGUCAGCAAUACUGCGGUGAAUACGUUCCCGGGUCUU